GUGAGGAAUAUUGGUCAAUGGGCGGGAGCCUGAACCAGCCAAGUCGCGUGAAGGAAGAAGGAUCUAUGGUUCGUAAACUUCUUUUGCAGGGGAAUAAAGUGCAGGACGUGUCCUGUUUUGUAUGUACCCUGAGAAUAAGGAUCGGCUAACUCCGUGCCAGCAGCCGCGGUCAUACGGAGGAUCCGAGCGUUAUCCGGAUUUAUUGGGUUUAAAGGGUGCGUAGGUGGUUUGAUAAGUCAGCGGUGAAAGUUUGCAGCUUAACUGUAAAAAUGCCGUUGAAACUGUCGGACUUGAGUGUAAAUGAGGUAGGCGGAAUGCGUGGUGUAGCGGUGAAAUGCAUAGAUAUCACGCAGAACGCCGAUUGCGAAGGCAGCUUACUAAGCUACAACUGACACUGAAGCACGAAAGCGUGGGGAUCAAACAGGAUUAGAUACCCCGGUAGUCC
RNAcentral lists this ribosomal RNA (445 nucleotides) under uncultured bacterium. RNAcentral describes it as "partial 16S ribosomal RNA". It matches the Rfam family "Bacterial small subunit ribosomal RNA", at positions 354 to 796 of the family's 1533-position model. The record is from RNAcentral.